RNAcentral lists this ribosomal RNA (488 nucleotides) under uncultured bacterium. Its description in RNAcentral is "bacterial SSU rRNA". It matches the Rfam family "Bacterial small subunit ribosomal RNA", at positions 30 to 508 of the family's 1533-position model. The record is from RNAcentral.
AUUAAACGCUGGCGGCAUGCCUUACACAUGCAAGUCGAACGGCAGCACGGGGGCAACCCUGGUGGCGAGUGGCGAACGGGUGAGUAAAGCAUCGGAACGUGCCCUGGAGUGGGGGAUAACGUAGCGAAAGUUACGCUAAUACCGCAUACGAUCUAAGGAUGAAAGCGGGGGACUCGCAAGAGCCUCGCGCGAUUGGAGCGGCCGAUAUCAGAUUAGGUAGUUGGUGGGGUAAAGGCUCACCAAGCCAACGAUCUGUAGCUGGUCUGAGAGGACGACCAGCCACACUGGAACUGAGAACACGGUCCAGACUCCUACGGGAGGCAGCAGUGGGGAAUUUUGGACAAUGGACGCAAGUCUGAUCCAGCCAUUCCGCGUGCAGGAUGAAGGCCCUCGGGUUGUAAACUGCUUUUGUACGGAACGAAAAGGUUUCUAUUAAUACUAGGAGCUCAUGACGGUACCGUAAGAAUAAGCACCGGCUAACUACGUAG